CCUACGUGUGGCAGCAGUGGGGAAUAUUGGACAAUGGGCGAAAGCCUGAUCCAGCCAUGCCGCGUGUGUGAAGAAGGCCUUCGGGUUGUAAAGCACUUUCAGUGGGGAAGAAAGCCUUGGGGCUAAUACCCUCGAGGAAGGACAUCACCCACAGAAGAAGCACCGGCUAACUCCGUGCCAGCAGCCGCGGUAAUACGGAGGGUGCGAGCGUUAAUCGGAAUUACUGGGCGUAAAGCGCGCGUAGGCGGUCUGAUAAGCCGGUUGUGAAAGCCCCGGGCUCAACCUGGGAACGGCAUCCGGAACUGUCAGGCUAGAGUGCAGGAGAGGAAGGUAGAAUUCCCGGUGUAGCGGUGAAAUGCGUAGAGAUCGGGAGGAAUACCAGUGGCGAAGGCGGCCUUCUGGACUGACACUGACGCUGAGGUGCGAAAGCGUGGGUAGCAAACAGGAUUAGAUACCCGAGCAGUC
RNAcentral lists this ribosomal RNA (465 nucleotides) under Vreelandella stevensii. RNAcentral describes it as "partial 16S ribosomal RNA". It matches the Rfam family "Bacterial small subunit ribosomal RNA", at positions 338 to 795 of the family's 1533-position model. Lineage: Bacteria; Pseudomonadati; Pseudomonadota; Gammaproteobacteria; Oceanospirillales; Halomonadaceae. The record is from RNAcentral.